This 253-nucleotide ribosomal RNA is filed under the name uncultured bacterium. RNAcentral's name for it is "partial 16S ribosomal RNA". It matches the Rfam family "Bacterial small subunit ribosomal RNA", at positions 524 to 776 of the family's 1533-position model. The record is from RNAcentral.
UACGAAGGGGGCUAGCGUUGCUCGGAAUUACUGGGCGUAAAGCGCACGUAGGCGGCUUGUUAAGUCAGGGGUGAAAUCCUGGAGCUCAACUCCAGAACUGCCUUUGAUACUGGCGAGCUUGAGUUCGGGAGAGGUGAGUGGAACUGCGAGUGUAGAGGUGAAAUUCGUAGAUAUUCGCAAGAACACCAGUGGCGAAGGCGGCUCACUGGCCCGGUACUGACGCUGAGGCACGAAAGCGUGGGGAGCAAACAGG